This 1376-nucleotide long non-coding RNA is filed under the name Cyanistes caeruleus (blue tit). RNAcentral's name for it is "lncRNA (ENSCCEG00000011305.1)". Lineage: Eukaryota; Metazoa; Chordata; Aves; Passeriformes; Paridae. The record is from RNAcentral.
AUGAGCUGGUAGGAGAGUUUGCUGAGUUUUUAUUCUUUUAUGGUUCUUACAUGGCACAAAAAGGUAGUGGAAAUGAAAAUAAAAAAAGGGUCAAGAGGCCUGGGAGUUGUUUUAUUUCACAGGCUUGCAGAGCACAUCUAAAGAGGAGCUAUUGAUGGCAGCAGUAUAGAAUUAAAAAGAAAGAAAGCAAAAACUUUUUAUGACUCCUUGCACUGUCUCAGCCAAGAAGCCAUAAAUCAGUAGCAAGGUCAUAGCAGUAGAUCACAGAACAGGUCAUUCCAACACAGGCUGAAUUGAAUUCUGGUGUCACCAAGGGCAGCGUUUGAUUCCGCUGCUUUUCCUCAGUGUGAAGUACUCGGGGUGUCAGUGGCAGAGAUGGUAGAAGACACAACAGCAGCAACCCUGUACCCCUUGAAGUGGAAGCAUUUCUGCACUCAGCCAAAUCUGAGGAAGCGCCUGCAAGUUGUUCAGGACUGGCUUCUACCCAAAUCCUCAGGAACAUCUGUGCAUCCAUCACCAUGCUCAGAGCUCAACAAUGCCUUGGUGGAAAGGGUUUUAACUCAUACAUUUGACUUUGCAGUGGAGGGGUCAAGACCUUCACAAACUGUAGGCUGAGGUGUGAGGGGGUUUGAGCUGCAAUGUUUUAUCUGCCCUAAACCAAAACUCUGCCUUGAGAGCAAACAUAGACUUCACACGUGCUGAUGUCUCCACUGAGGCUGCAAAUUUGGGGCAAUGGCAGGGGUGUCAUGCAAGAACACACUCAACCCUGGAGUGCCUUAGCAGUGACAUUGGCAGUGUGGAACUGGUUCCCAACCCAGGAGAGAGGAACAGAGGGACACUGGACUGUGCCAGGAGGCAUUGCUUGCUGGCUGGGAAGGCACUCAGAUACCAGAGAGCUGAAGGGUAAGAUGAGAGAAUCUGCAUGAAAGAGACUACAAUAUGAGAGAAAAAUGAGGCUGUCACAUUAAAUUGCUAUCCCUGGGUAUCUGAAUUAACACAUCAUUGAAACAAAUUAUACAGUUCCCUCAAGAGUUCUUGCCCAGCCCUUUGCAGACACACAAAAAACAUUACAACUUUUAUCUUCAGCUCACACUGAGAGGUUCAUCUUCACCAUGGUUACCCUCUAGCCAAUUUUGUUGGGUUUUUUUAAUCAAAGAGUGAGGAAAAAAAUGGAGUUUCAAAUAAGAGUUUUAUCAGCACUGCCCACCAUUGUAUGUUCCUCACCUACCCUGCCUUGCUUGCACGUGUCAGUGGACAGCAGCAAGCAGAGUUUUUCCUGAUAGAUGAGGAAUCAGGUAAAUGCCUGUGCUAGAUGUCAGAGUACAAUUCCUCAUGGCUGCCUAGAACUUCAAUAAAAAUUUUCACAUCCAUCCUCA